AGCAGUAGCCGCGGUAACACGGAGGGUGCAAGCGUUAUCCGGAUUUAUUGGGUUUAAAGGGUCCGUAGGCGGAUCUGUAAGUCAGUGGUGAAAUCUCACAGCUUAACUGUGAAACUGCCAUUGAUACUGCAGGUCUUGAGUAAAUUUGAAGUGGCUGGAAUAAGUAGUGUAGCGGUGAAAUGCAUAGAUAUUACUUAGAACACCAAUUGCGAAGGCAGGUCACUAAGAUUUAACUGACGCUGAUGGACGAAAGCGUGGGGAGCGAACAGGAUUAGAGACCCCUGUAGUCCCUGUCUCUUAUAC
RNAcentral lists this ribosomal RNA (303 nucleotides) under uncultured bacterium. RNAcentral describes it as "partial 16S ribosomal RNA". It matches the Rfam family "Bacterial small subunit ribosomal RNA", at positions 507 to 807 of the family's 1533-position model. The record is from RNAcentral.